RNAcentral lists this ribosomal RNA (337 nucleotides) under Boophis narinsi. Its description in RNAcentral is "partial 16S ribosomal RNA". It matches the Rfam family "Bacterial large subunit ribosomal RNA", at positions 2094 to 2597 of the family's 2925-position model. The record is from RNAcentral. Lineage: Eukaryota; Metazoa; Chordata; Amphibia; Anura; Mantellidae.
UGGAGCUUUAAACCCAACAGCACCUAUUCUUUUUAAAUCCACUUAUUCUUAUAGUAAGUGCUUGCUUGGUUUUAGGUUGGGGUGACCGCGGAGUAAAAAUAAGCCUCCACGAAAAAAGGCAUAAAAGCCUUAUCAAAGAAUCACACUUCUAUGAAUUAGUAAACUAAUUUUUGAUGAUCCGAUAUUCGAUCAACGAACCAAGUUACCCUGGGGAUAACAGCGCAAUCCACCUCAAGAGCUCUUAUCGACAAGUGGGUUUACGACCUCGAUGUUGGAUCAGGGUACCCCAGUGGUGCAGCAGCUACUAAAGGUUCGUUUGUUCAACGAUUAAAACCCU